RNAcentral lists this ribosomal RNA (441 nucleotides) under uncultured Anaerolineaceae bacterium. Its description in RNAcentral is "bacterial SSU rRNA". It matches the Rfam family "Bacterial small subunit ribosomal RNA", at positions 929 to 1382 of the family's 1533-position model. The record is from RNAcentral. Lineage: Bacteria; Bacillati; Chloroflexota; Anaerolineae; Anaerolineales; Anaerolineaceae.
GCGGUGGAGCAUGUGGUUUAAUUCGAUGCAACGCGAAGAACCUUACCUAGACUUGACAUCCCGGGAAUUCUUAGGAACUAAGAAGUGCCUUUCGGGGAGCCCGGUGACAGGUGCUGCAUGGCUGUCGUCAGCUCGUGUCGUGAGAUGUUGGGUUAAGUCCGCUAACGAGCGCAGCCCUCACUGUGUGUUAUACGUGUCACACGGGACUGCCGGUUUUAAGCCGGAGGAAGGCGAGGAUGAAGUCAAGUCAGCAUGGCCUUUAUAUCUUGGGCUACACACACGCUACAAUGGUCUGUACAACAGGUUGCCAAGCCGCGAGGCGGAGCCAAUCCUAAAAAGCUGGCCUCAGUUCAGAUUGCAGUCUGAAACUCGACUGCAUGAAGUCGGAGUUGCUAGUAAACGCAGGUCAGCUAUACUGCGUUGAAUACGUUCCCGGGGCUU